This 301-nucleotide ribosomal RNA is filed under the name uncultured bacterium. Its description in RNAcentral is "partial 16S ribosomal RNA". It matches the Rfam family "Bacterial small subunit ribosomal RNA", at positions 509 to 807 of the family's 1533-position model. The record is from RNAcentral.
CAGUCGCCGCGGUAAUACGAAGGGUGCAAGCGUUAAUCGGAAUUACUGGGCGUAAAGCGCGCGUAGGUGGUUCAUUAAGUUGGAUGUGAAAUCCCCGGGCUCAACCUGGGAACUGCAUCCAAAACUGGCAAGCUAGAGUAUGGUAGAGGGUGGUGGAAUUUCCUGUGUAGCGGUGAAAUGCGUAGAUAUAGGAAGGAACACCAGUGGCGAAGGCGACCACCUGGACUGAUACUGACACUGAGGUGCGAAAGCGUGGGGAGCAAACAGGAUUAGAUACCCCGGUAGUCCCUGUCUCUUAUAC